CCUUGAGCCGUGGCUUUCGGAGCUAACGCGUUAAGUAGACCGCCUGGGGAGUACGGUCGCAAGAUUAAAACUCAAAUGAAUUGACGGGGGCCCGCACAAGCGGUGGAGCAUGUGGUUUAAUUCGAUGCAACGCGAAGAACCUUACCUACUCUUGACAUCCAGAGAACUUUCCAGAGAUGGAUUGGUGCCUUCGGGAACUCUGAGACAGGUGCUGCAUGGCUGUCGUCAGCUCGUGUUGUGAAAUGUUGGGUUAAGUCCCGCAACGAGCGCAACCCUUAUCCUUGUUUGCCAGCGAGUAAUGUCGGGAACUCCAGGGAGACUGCCGGUGAUAAACCGGAGGAAGGUGGGGACGACGUCAAGUCAUCAUGGCCCUUACGAGUAGGGCUACACACGUGCUACAAUGGCGCAUACAGAGGGCGGCCAACUUGCGAGAGUGAGCGAAUCCCAAAAAGUGCGUCGUAGUCCGGAUUGGAGUCUGCAACUCGACUCCRUGAAGUCGGAAUCGCUAGUAAUCGUGGAUCAGAAUGCCACGGUGAAUACGUUCCCGGGCCUUGUACACACCGCCCGUCACACCAUGGGAGUGGGCUGCAAAAGAAGUAGGUAG
This 604-nucleotide ribosomal RNA is filed under the name Vibrio sp. PID35_94. Its description in RNAcentral is "bacterial SSU rRNA". It matches the Rfam family "Bacterial small subunit ribosomal RNA", at positions 830 to 1433 of the family's 1533-position model. The record is from RNAcentral. Lineage: Bacteria; Pseudomonadati; Pseudomonadota; Gammaproteobacteria; Vibrionales; Vibrionaceae.